This 478-nucleotide ribosomal RNA is filed under the name uncultured bacterium. RNAcentral describes it as "partial 16S ribosomal RNA". It matches the Rfam family "Bacterial small subunit ribosomal RNA", at positions 28 to 523 of the family's 1533-position model. The record is from RNAcentral.
GACGAACGCUGGCGGCGUGCUUAACACAUGCAAGUCGAACGGUAAGGCCCUUCGGGGUACACGAGUGGCGAACGGGUGAGCAACACGUGGGUGAUCUGCCCUGCACUUCGGGAUAAGCCUGGGAAACUGGGUCUAAUACCGGAUAGGACCACUGCCUGCAUGGGUGGGGGUGGAAAGCUUUUGCGGUGUGGGAUGGGCCCGCGGCCUAUCAGCUUGUUGGUGGGGUGAUGGCCUACCAAGGCGACGAGGGGUAGCCGGCCUGAGAGGGUGACCGGCAACACUGGGACUGAGAUACGGCCCAGACUCCUACGGGAGGCAGCAGUGGGGAAUAUUGCACAAUGGGCGCAAGCCUGAUGCAGCGACGCCGCGUGAGGGAUGACGGCCUUCGGGUUGUAAACCUCUUUCAGCACCGACGAAGCGCAAGUGACGGUAGGUGCAGAAGAAGGACCGGCCAACUACGUGCCAGCCGCCGCCGUAA